This is a non-coding RNA of Amoeboaphelidium occidentale, 83 nucleotides long. The record is from the annotation of a GenBank genome assembly. Lineage: Eukaryota; Fungi; Aphelidiomycota; Aphelidea.
GGUGCUAUGGCCGAGUUGGUCUAAGGCGUCUGACUUAAGCUCAGAUCUCGAAAGAGGCGUGAGUUCGAACCUCACUGGCACCA